This 878-nucleotide ribosomal RNA is filed under the name uncultured eukaryote. Its description in RNAcentral is "SSU rRNA". It matches the Rfam family "Eukaryotic small subunit ribosomal RNA", at positions 567 to 1468 of the family's 1831-position model. The record is from RNAcentral.
CCAGCAGCCGCGGUAAUUCCAGCUCCAAUAGCGUAUAUUAAAGUUGUUGUGGUUAAAAAGCUCGUAGUUGGAUCUCAACAGCCUUGAAGCGGUUAACUUUGUAGUUUUACUGCUUUAUAGGCUGUGCUUUUGCUGGAGGUUUAGGGGUGCUCUUGAUCGAGUGUCUCUGGAUGCCAGCAGGUUUACUUUGAAAAAAUUAGAGUGCUCAAAGCAGGCUAAAAUGCCUGAAUAUUCGUGCAUGGAAUAAUAGAAUAGGAUGUCGAUCCUAUUUUGUUGGUUUUCGGGACUCGACAUAAUGAUAAAUAGGGACAGUCGGGGGCAUUUGUAUUCAAACGACAGAGGUGAAAUUCUUGGACCGUUUGAAGACAAACUACUGCGAAAGCAUUUGCCAAGAAUGUUUUCAUUAAUCAAGAACGAAAGUUAGAGGUUCGAAGGCGAUUAGAUACCGCCCUAGUUCUAACCAUAAACGAUGCCAGCUAGCGAUCUGCCUGCGUUUUUACUGUAGACUGGGCAGGAAGCUUCCGGGAAACCAAAGCAUUUGGGUUCCAGGGGAAGUAUGGUUGCAAAGCUGAAACUUAAAGGAAUUGACGGAAGGGCACCACCAGGAGUGGAGCCUGUGGCUUAAUUUGACUCAACACGGGAAAUCUCACCAGGCCCGGACACUGGAAGGAUGGACAGAUUGAUAGCUCUUUCUUGAUUCGGUGGGUGGUGGUGCAUGGCCGUUCUUAGUUGGUGGAGUGAUUUGUCUGGUUAAUUCCGAUAACGAACGAGACUCUGUCCUGCUAAAUAGUUUCUACUUCUCUUUUGAGUAGAAAUUUCUUCUUAGAGGGACUGGUGACUCUUAGUCACACGAGAUUGAGCAAUAACAGGUCUGUGAU